UUUCCGUAGGUGAACCUGCGGAAGGAUCAUUGAUGAAUCUACUCCCCCAACCUGAAAAGGAUGGGUGGAACCAUCUAUCCCGCAAGGGAUAGGUGAAAUACCCUGUCGAAACAAUAUUUCUUUCUUGGAUUUUUGAAUUCCCUCUGGGGAAUUCCGAGAUCUGAGAAAGGUUAAAAUGAACGACUCUGAUCGACGACUAACAAGAAUCAUAAUUAAAAUCAACUUUUAACAAUGGAUCUCUUGGCUCUU
RNAcentral lists this unclassified non-coding RNA (249 nucleotides) under plant metagenome. RNAcentral's name for it is "partial contains small subunit ribosomal RNA, internal transcribed spacer 1, and 5.8S ribosomal RNA". The record is from RNAcentral.